ACUGGUCCAGGCCUCUUCCCCAGCUAUUCGUGCUGCAGGAAGAGAAGAAUCCAAACGCUGGGGCCGACCUCGAUGAUGGUGGCAGUAAAAGGUUUUCAAGUCGGAUGGAAAUACUCACUUCUUUCUCUCACCUGGCAAACUCGCAAUUAACCAGCAAGAUCCUCAUCUAAUGGCCCGACCCUCCCGGGCAGGAGAAAUCACGCUCACCUCUGUCUUCCUUAGUGCUUGGCUCACGCUUCCCUCACUGCGUGUUACCUGAUGUUAUAACCCUGUUUCCGUGUCUCCACCCAGCUCUGCAAGGCAGGGAGAUCCUCGAGGGCAGGAACAAUAUUUAGCAUGUGACUUCCAUCCUCGUGGUUUGCAAGAUGGUUGCUGUAACUCCAAGAGUUGUGAACACGCUCCGGACAGAAGAAGGAGGGAGGAGGAAAGAAGGAGAAGAGCCAGUAUUGGGAAAAUGGAAGCUUUCCUCAGAAAUCCCCCAUGGACUUCCGCUUCUGUCUCAUUGGCCAGAACGGGGUCAUGUGACGACUGGCUGUGAAGAGGUCUGGGAAGGUUCAUGUUUUCAGCUGAGUAUAUUGUAGGGCUGAACAAAAUUGGGGUUUUGUGGUGAGAAGGAAGUAGAGAUUAGAAUGGGGGAAUAACUAGCCGUUCUGGCAUGUGUCACGGUCUACUUCUUUAUUUCUUCUAACUUU
RNAcentral lists this long non-coding RNA (692 nucleotides) under Equus caballus (horse). Its description in RNAcentral is "lncRNA (ENSECAG00000059473.1)". The record is from RNAcentral. Lineage: Eukaryota; Metazoa; Chordata; Mammalia; Perissodactyla; Equidae.